UACGUAGGGUGCAAGCGUUUGUCCGGAAUUAUUGGGCGUAAAGAGCUCGUAGGCGGUCUGUCGCGUCUGCUGUGAAAACCUAGGGCUUAACUCUGGGCGUGCAGUGGGUACGGGCAGGCUAGAGUGCGGUAGGGGAGACUGGAAUUCCUGGUGUAGCGGUGAAAUGCGCAGAUAUCAGGAGGAACACCGGUGGCGAAGGCGGGUCUCUGGGCCGAUACUGACGCUGAGGAGCGAAAGCGUGGGGAGCGAACAGG
Molecule: ribosomal RNA, 254 nt
Filed under: uncultured bacterium
Lineage: Bacteria
Description: partial 16S ribosomal RNA
Rfam family: Bacterial small subunit ribosomal RNA
Source: RNAcentral